GACGAACGCUGGCGGCGUGCUUAACACAUGCAAGUCGAACGGAAGGGCCCUGCUUUUGUGGGGUGCUCGAGUGGCGAACGGGUGAGUAACACGUGAGUAACCUGCCCUUGACUUUGGGAUAACUUCAGGAAACUGGGGCUAAUACCGGAUAGGAGCUCCUGCUGCAUGGUGGGGGUUGGAAAGUUUCGGCGGUUGGGGAUGGACUCGCGGCUUAUCAGCUUGUUGGUGGGGUAGUGGCUUACCAAGGCUUUGACGGGUAGCCGGCCUGAGAGGGUGGCCGGCCACAUUGGGACUGCGAGACGGCCCAGACUCCUACGGGGGACAGCAGUGGGGAAUAUUGCACAAUGAGCGGAAGCCUGAUGCAGCAACGCCGCGUGCGGGAUGACGGCCUUCGGGUUAUAAACCGCUUUCGCCUGUGACGAAGCGUGAGUGACGGUAAUGGGUAAAGAAGCACCGGCUAACUACGUG
This 468-nucleotide ribosomal RNA is filed under the name uncultured bacterium. Its description in RNAcentral is "partial 16S ribosomal RNA". It matches the Rfam family "Bacterial small subunit ribosomal RNA", at positions 28 to 507 of the family's 1533-position model. The record is from RNAcentral.